Molecule: long non-coding RNA, 608 nt
Filed under: Panax ginseng (ginseng)
Lineage: Eukaryota; Viridiplantae; Streptophyta; Magnoliopsida; Apiales; Araliaceae
Description: long non-coding RNA (PGIN_LNC011973)
Source: RNAcentral
AAAAAUAUCCUCAAAUCAAGAACUUAUAACUUCAAAAAUCUUAUCAGAUCACAACUGGUCAUCUUUUUUUCCUCAAACCAUUAAAUAAUCAUUUGACAAUUGUAAACCUAAAAUUAUCAUAAAGAAGAGGAAGAGGAAGAGAAAAUGAAUGUGUUUUUGCACAAGAGAGAAAGUGAAAGUUACGCAACAUAAAUUCUUCUUCUUGUUCUCUUUUUUCUCUCCAUUUUUUGGUGAGGCUUUUACUCAUGCUCUGCGAAUUGUGGUGGUUGUUAGAUCUGGGACUUGUGGUGUCGGAAAGAUCAUAAGCAACAAUAACAUGCAACAAUUGCAAUCAAAACAACAAUUUGAAUUCCUUGAUUUUGAUCCGCGCUUUCCCGUUAAUCUCGAUUGAGACUCUUUCGUUGGGGUUUCAUCUUUUUCUAGGGCUUUUUCACUUCACCGGUGGUUGGGGCUGAUUUUCGUGUUGUCUAAAAAUUAGUUACAACGAAUGAAAACCCAAAUGACGAAUUGGAAACCCUAAAUUAUGUAUAUCAUUCUGUUUUCAUUUUUUCCUUCUACUUUGUGUUUGGCUGGGAGUUGAAUUGUACUAUUGUAGUGGGAAUUCUUUC